This 442-nucleotide ribosomal RNA is filed under the name uncultured bacterium. RNAcentral's name for it is "partial 16S ribosomal RNA". It matches the Rfam family "Bacterial small subunit ribosomal RNA", at positions 338 to 795 of the family's 1533-position model. The record is from RNAcentral.
CCUACGGGUGGCAGCAGUAGGGAAUCUUUCACAAUGGGCGAAAGCCUGAUGGAGCAACGCCGCGUGCAGGAUGACGGCCUUCGGGUUGUAAACUGCUUUUUUAAGAGAGAAAUAUGAUGGUAACUUAUGAUUAAGGAUCGUCCAAUUACGUUCCAGCAGCCGCGGUCUAACGUAGGAUCCGAGCAUUAUCCGGAGUGACUGGGUGUAAAGAGUUGCGUAGGUGGCAUAAUAAGUAGCUAGUGAAAUCUGUUGGGUCAACCAUUCAGACUAUUAGCUACACUGGUAAGCUUGAGACCAUUAGAGGUAACUGGAAUUUCUGGUGUAGCGGUGAAAUGCGUAGAUAUUAGGAGGAACACCAAUAGCGAAGGCAGGUUACUGGGACGGUACUGACACUGAGGCACGAAAGCGUAGGGAGCAAACGGGAUUAGAUACCCCAGUAGUC